UGAGAGAACUCCUUUUCUCUAUCGUUCCUUUCAAAACCCUAGCGUCGCAGACACAUUUUCUUCAAAAAAAAUUGACAUCAAACACCGAUUUCACAUCUUCAUUACAGGUAGGAUUAUGUUCUAUCAUUUACCAGUUUGUCAUCGAUAUAUCAUUUACUAGAUUUUCACUCUCAAAACCCUAAAUCUCAAUCUAAAGAAACUAAGCAUAAGGUAUGAUGUUUGUGUUCUAUGUUUAUGUGUUCAUCAUUUAUCCUGCCAUAAACCCUAAUGUAGUAACAACCGAAUAGCCCAUCAGUUAUUUUUACCGCCGCAGUCGCAAGCAUUCCGGUCAAGCUUCGCCGGAGUCGAUCGAACUCCAGUUCAAGGUUUGCAGCAAUUGAAUGCAAAAAGUCUCAUAAGGUUUUGCCCAGUUGAUGCAAAAGUCUUUUCGCCUUUUUAGCAGUAACUUGGAAACAAUGGGUGCAUGGACCAGUCAAAUUGAGCAAAGAAAAGUUGCUAAGGUUGGAGACUAAUCAUCGAAAAAAAUCAUGUUAUCAGUUAUUUACCGUUAACAGUAAUAUAUCACUCUGUUUGUAUUUAUUUUAUUUAUAAACUUAUAAUUAAUGUAAAUCAAAAUUUCCUACCCGGGAAGUUCCCGGGUGAUAACCUAGUUAAUGAUAUAUGUAAGUUUACUAAUAUACCCUUAUAGUUACAUUAAGUACAAAUAUUAAAUGAGGUCUAAUGAAGCAUUUCUAUUGGUU
Molecule: long non-coding RNA, 740 nt
Filed under: Helianthus annuus (common sunflower)
Lineage: Eukaryota; Viridiplantae; Streptophyta; Magnoliopsida; Asterales; Asteraceae
Description: hypothetical non coding rna
Source: RNAcentral